Molecule: non-coding RNA, 68 nt
Organism: Potamilus streckersoni
Lineage: Eukaryota; Metazoa; Mollusca; Bivalvia; Unionida; Unionidae
Source: the annotation of a GenBank genome assembly
GGUAGCCUAGUGGUUAGAGCGUUCGCCUCGGAUUCGGUAGGUCAUGGUUUCGAACCCCGGCAGAGUCA